GACGAACUUUGGCGGCGUGCUUAACACAUGCAAGUCGAACGGAAAGGCCCUGCUUUUGUGGGGUGCUCGAGUGGCGAACGGGUGAGUAACACGUGAGUAACCUGCCCUUGACUUUGGGAUAACUUCAGGAAACUGGGGCUAAUACCGGAUAGGAGCUCCUGCUGCAUGGUGGGGGUUGGAAAGUUUCGGCGGUUGGGGAUGGACUCGCGGCUUAUCAGCUUGUUGGUGGGGUAGUGGCUUACCAAGGCUUUGACGGGUAGCCGGCCUGAGAGGGUGACCGGCCACAUUGGGACUGAGAUACGGCCCAGACUCCUACGGGAGGCAGCAGUGGGGAAUAUUGCACAAUGGGCGGAAGCCUGAUGCAGCAACGCCGCGUGCGGGAUGACGGCCUUCGGGUUGUAAACCGCUUUCGCCUGUGACGAAGCGUGAGUGACGGUAAUGGGUAAAGAAGCACCGGCUAACUACGUGCCAGCAGCCGCGGUGAUACGUAGGGUGCGAGCGUUGUCCGGAUUUAUUGGGCGUAAAGGGCUCGUAGGUGGUUGAUCGCGUCGGAAGUGUAAUCUUGGGGCUUAACCCUGAGCGUGCUUUCGAUACGGGUUGACUUGAGGAAGGUAGGGGAGAAUGGAAUUCCUGGUGGAGCGGUGGAAUGCGCAGAUAUCUGGAGGAACACCAGUGGCGAAGGCGGUUCUCUGGGCCUUUCCUGACGCUGAGGAGCGAAAGCGUGGGGAGCGAACAGGCUUAGAUACCCUGGUAGUCCACGCUGUAAACGGUGGGUACUAGGUGUGGGGUCCAUUCCACGGGUUCCGUGCCGUAGCUAACGCUUUAAGUACCCCGCCUGGGGAGUACGGCCGCAAGGCUAAAACUCAAAGGAAUUGACGGGGCCCCGCACAAGCGGCGGAGCAUGCGGAUUAAUUCGAUGCAACGCGUAGAACCUUACCUGGGUUUGACAUGGAUCGGGAGUGCUCAGAGAUGGGUGUGCCUCUUUUGGGGUCGGUUCACAGGUGGUGCAUGGCUGUCGUCAGCUCGUGUCGUGAGAUGUUGGGUUAAGUCCCGCAACGAGCGCAACCCUUGUUCACUGUUGCCAGCACGUUAUGGUGGGGACUCAGUGGAGACCGCCGGGGUCAACUCGGAGGAAGGUGGGGAUGACGUCAAGUCAUCAUGCCCCUUAUGUCCAGGGCUUCACGCAUGCUACAAUGGCUGGUACAGAGAGUGGCGAGCCUGUGAGGGUGAGCGAAUCUCGGAAAGCCGGUCUCAGUUCGGAUUGGGGUCUGCAACUCGACCUCAUGAAGUCGGAGUCGCUAGUAAUCGCAGAUCAGCAACGCUGCGGUGAAUACGUUCCCGGGGCU
RNAcentral lists this ribosomal RNA (1346 nucleotides) under uncultured bacterium. RNAcentral's name for it is "partial 16S ribosomal RNA". It matches the Rfam family "Bacterial small subunit ribosomal RNA", at positions 28 to 1381 of the family's 1533-position model. The record is from RNAcentral.